GGAAUCCUGAGGUGAGAGAAGGAAGGAAUCCUGAGGUGAGGAGAGAAGGAAGGAAUCCUGAGGUGAGCAGAGAAGGAAGGAAUCCUGAGGUGAGGAGAGAAGGAAGGAAUCCUGACGUGAGCAGAGAAGGAAGGAAUCCUGAGGUGAGAGAAGGAAGGAAUCCUGAGGUGAGAGAAGGAAGGAAUCCCGAGGUGAGCAGAGAAGGAAGGAAUCCCGAGGUGAGCAGAGAAGGAAGGAAUCCCGAGGUGAGAGAAGGAAGGAAUCCUGAGGUGAGGAGAGAAGGAAGGAAUCCUGACGUGAGCAGAGAAGGAAGGAAUCCUGAGGUGAGAGAAGGAAGGAAUCCUGAGGUGAGCAGAGAAGGAAGGAAUCCUGAGGUGAGCAGAGAAGGAAGGAAUCCCGAGGUGAGAGAAGGAAGGAAUCCUGAGGUGAGAGAAGGAAGGAAUCCUGACGUGAGCAGAGAAGGAAGGAAUCCCGAGGUGAGAAGGAAGGAAUCCCGAGGUGAGAGAAGGAAGGAAUCCUGAGGUGAGGAGAGAAGGAAGGAAUCCUGAGGUGAGGAGAGAAGGAAGGAAUCCUGAGGUGAGCAGAGAAGGAAGGAAUCCUGAGGUGAGAGAAGGAAGGAAUCCCGAGGUGAGAGAAGGAAGGAAUCCCGAGGUGAGCAGAGAAGGAAGGAAUCCCGAGGUGAGAGAAGGAAGGAAUCCCGAGGUGAGAGAAGGAAGGAAUCCCGAGGAGGAGAGAAGGAAGGAAUCCCGAGGUGAGAGAAGAAGGAAUCCUGAGGUGAGGAGAGAAGGAAGGAAUCCUGAGGUGAGAGAAGGAAGGAAUCCCGAGGUGAGCAGAG
RNAcentral lists this long non-coding RNA (835 nucleotides) under Pan troglodytes (chimpanzee). RNAcentral's name for it is "long non-coding RNA NONPTRT017712". Lineage: Eukaryota; Metazoa; Chordata; Mammalia; Primates; Hominidae. The record is from RNAcentral.